This 492-nucleotide ribosomal RNA is filed under the name uncultured bacterium. Its description in RNAcentral is "partial 16S ribosomal RNA". It matches the Rfam family "Bacterial small subunit ribosomal RNA", at positions 30 to 507 of the family's 1533-position model. The record is from RNAcentral.
CGAACGCUGGCGGCGUGCUUAACACAUGCAAGUCGAACGGUGAAGCGCCUUCCUUUUUGGUGGGUGUGGAUGAGUGGCGAACGGGUGAGUAACACGUGAGUAACCUGCCCCCUUCUUCUGGAUAACCGCAUGAAAGUGUGGCUAAUACGGGAUAUUCUGGGUCUGUCGCAUGAUGGGUCUGGGAAAGAUAUUGUUUCGGUGGGGGAUGGGCUCGCGGCCUAUCAGCUUGUUGGUGGGGUGAUGGCCUACCAAGGCGGUGACGGGUAGCCGGCCUGAGAGGGUGGACGGUCACACUGGGACUGAGACACGGCCCAGACUCCUACGGGAGGCAGCAGUGGGGAAUAUUGCACAAUGGGCGCAAGCCUGAUGCAGCGACGCCGCGUGAGGGAUGGAGGCCUGCGGGUUGUGAACCUCUUUCGCCAGUGAAGCAGGCCUGCCUCGUUUGUGGGUGGGUUGACGGUAGCUGGAGAAGAAGCGCCGGCUAACUACGUG